RNAcentral lists this ribosomal RNA (483 nucleotides) under uncultured bacterium. RNAcentral describes it as "partial 16S ribosomal RNA". It matches the Rfam family "Bacterial small subunit ribosomal RNA", at positions 30 to 507 of the family's 1533-position model. The record is from RNAcentral.
AUUGAACGCUGGCGGCAGGCCUAACACAUGCAAGUCGAGCGGAUGAAGGGAGCUUGCUCCUGGAUUCAGCGGCGGACGGGUGAGUAAUGCCUAGGAAUCUGCCUGGUAGUGGGGGAUAACGUCCGGAAACGGGCGCUAAUACCGCAUACGUCCUGAGGGAGAAAGUGGGGGAUCUUCGGACCUCACGCUAUCAGAUGAGCCAGGUCGGAUUAGCUAGGUGGUGGGGUAAAGGCCUACCAAGGCGACGAUCCGUAACUGGUCUGAGAGGAUGAUCAGUCACACUGGAACUGAGACACGGUCCAGACUCCUACGGGAGGCAGCAGUGGGGAAUAUUGGACAAUGGGCGAAAGCCUGAUCCAGCCAUGCCGCGUGUGUGAAGAAGGUCUUCGGAUUGUAAAGCACUUUAAGUUGGGAGGAAGGGCAGUAAGUUAAUACCUUGCUGUUUUGACGUUACCAACAGAAUAAGCACCGGCUAACUUCGUG